RNAcentral lists this long non-coding RNA (1090 nucleotides) under Rattus norvegicus (Norway rat). Its description in RNAcentral is "long non-coding RNA NONRATT000748". The record is from RNAcentral. Lineage: Eukaryota; Metazoa; Chordata; Mammalia; Rodentia; Muridae.
CGUAAGAUGGGAAAUUUUCUAAAUUAUUAACAUGCAAGGUGUCCAUAGAUAUUUUAGAAUGGACAUUUGAUUAAAGCAGGAUAACAUGGAAUAAUUUUUAAGCAAUGUUGUUUUAGCUUUGAAGAUAGGAUUUUAUAUGAGAAUAUUAUCAUUUAUCAAAAGAACCAGGCUCUGGCAUAAUUACAGCAUAGUUCCUAAUCAAGAACGAUAGACAAAUAAAUUAUAACAUAUGCAACACAUCUACUUGGCAGAUACAAACUGACCAAUGGAUGAUGUCAGGGAGUCUACACUCACUGGGUACAUUCACUUCUGUUGGUUAAACACACUCUGAAAGUACAGGAAUAAAAAAUAAAACCACUGGCUGUAUAGAAUUAAUAUGCUAAGCCCCAAAUAACACCUUUAGAGAACAUAUCCCAGAAUAAUAAAAAAGAAUUAAAGAAUUAGGUCAGUAGGACUUAAUUUCUAGAAUCCAAUGCCAUGUAUGUGCUAUAUGCAAAGAGGUGUAUUGAGCUCUCGAACUGGAUAAACUGAUGGCGUUCAUUUAGUAGUUUGAUAGCAUUGCUUUUAAUAUGAUUUGAGGUUUUUCUUUAAUUAAUGUGUUUUUUGUCUCUCCUAGCCUUUUCCUUGCUUUGAAAUUGGAAUCAAAAUUUUUAAACUAUUUUCCUCACCUGUCUUCUACCCUUCUUAACUACCAACUUUACACUAGAUAUCGUUUGAAGAAUUAACAUGAAGACACUGACCAUUCUCACCUGGAAAGAAUAUUAUCCAAUAUAUUUACAAUACAUGGUGUGAUUCUGUUCUAUACUUGCAAUGUUAAGUGAAGAAUUACAACUUGGAGUUUACACACUGUCCAUUGAUGGCUGUUGAGGACUUCCCCAUGUUUUCUAAUGAAAUAACCUAUUUAAUAUGUCCUUCCACAACAGAGAACAAAUUUCUCUAUUUUAUAAUAUUAUAACAACAACUCAAUUUAAAGUGUGAAUCAAAGACAAUGUAUUCAUUUGUAAAUUAGAAAACUUUUGAACUCUGUCUUUCCUUUUAUGUACAUAAACUAUGUCAAUAAACUAGUGCCUCAGACCUGUGAGCCCUAAUG